CUCAGAACGAACGCUAGCGGCGUGCUUAACACAUGCAAGUCGAACGAGAAAGCCCUUCGGGGUGAGUAGAGUGGCGCACGGGUGAGUAAUGAAUAGGAACGUACCUUUCGGAGGGGGAUAACCAUUGGAAACGAUGGCUAAUACCGCGUAAUAUCGAAAGAUUAAAGGUGGCCUCUACUUGUAAGCUACCGCCGAAAGAUCGGCCUAUUUCCCAUUAGCUUGUUGGCGGGGUAACGGCCCACCAAGGCUACGAUGGGUAGCUGGUCUGAGAGGAUGAUCAGCCACACUGGGACUGAGACACGGCCCAGACUCCUGCGGGAGGCAGCAGAGGGAAUCUUGCACAAUGGGCGAAAGCCUGAUGCAGCAACGCCGCGUGAGUGAAGAAGGCCAUCGGUCGUAAAGCUCUUUCAUUUGGGAAGAAGGGUUCAUAGGUGAACAAUCUAUGGAUUUGACGGUACCGAGAUAAGAAGCACUGGCUAACUCCGUGCCAGCAGCCGCGGUAAUACGGAGGGUGCAAGCGUUGUUCGGAUUGACUGGGCGUAAAGCGCACGUAGGCGGAUCUGCAAGUCGAUUGUGAAAGCCCAGGGCUUAACCUUGGAAUUGCAAUCGAAACUACAGGUCUUGAAUGCUCAAGGGGUCGGCGGAAUUCCAGGUGUAGAAGUGAAAUUCGUAGAUAUCUGGAGGAACCCGAGGCGAAUGCGGCCGACUGGUGGUGCAUUGACGCUGAGGUGCGAAAGCGUGGGUAGCAAACAGGAUUAGAUACCCUGGUAGUCCACGCCGUAAACGAUGGAUACUAGGUGUUUGGGAUGUUAACCUCCUGAGUACCGUAGCUAACGCAUUAAGUAUCCCGCCUGGGGAGUACGGUCGCAAGGCUAAAACUCAAAGGAAUUGACGGGGGCCCGCACAAGCGGUGGAGUAUGUGGUUUAAUUCGACGCAACGCGCAGAACCUUACCUGGACUUAACAUCCUGGGACAACCUCAGAGAUGAGGCUUUCUCUUCGGAGACUCAGUGAUAGGUGUUGCAUGGCUGUCGUCAGCUCGUGUCGUAAGAUGUUCGGUUAAGUCCGGCAACGAGCGCAACCCUUGUCUUUAGUUGCCAUCAUUAAGUUGGGCACUCUAGAGAGACUGCCGGUGUUAAGCCGGAGGAAGGCGGGGAUGACGUCAAGUCCUCAUGGCCCUUACGUCCAGGGCUACACACGUACUACAAUGGUAGGAACAAACCGAGGCGAACCCGCGAGGCGGAGCAAAACGGUAAAACACUACCUCAGUUCGGAUUGGAGUCUGCAACUCGACUCCAUGAAGCUGGAAUCGCUAGUAACCGCAGAUCAGCACGCUGCGGUGAAUACGUUCCCGGGCCUUGUACACACCGCCCGUCACACCACGAGAGUGAUCAUGGCCAGAAGUAUGUGAGCUAACCGCAAGGAGGCAGCAUACCAAGGUUGUGGACGCGAUUGGGGUGAAGUCGUAACAAGGUA
Molecule: ribosomal RNA, 1475 nt
Filed under: metagenome
Description: bacterial SSU rRNA
Rfam family: Bacterial small subunit ribosomal RNA
Source: RNAcentral